CGGCAGGCCUAACACAUGCAAGUCGAGCGGAAACGAUGGGAGCUUGCUCCCAGGCGUCGAGCGGCGGACGGGUGAGUAAUGCAUAGGAAUCUGCCCGGUAGUGGGGGAUAACCUGGGGAAACUCAGGCUAAUACCGCAUACGUCCUACGGGAGAAAGCAGGGGCUCUUCGGACCUUGCGCUAUCGGAUGAGCCUAUGUCGGAUUAGCUAGUUGGUGAGGUAAUGGCUCACCAAGGCGACGAUCCGUAGCUGGUCUGAGAGGAUGAUCAGCCACAUCGGGACUGAGACACGGCCCGAACUCCUACGGGAGGCAGCAGUGGGGAAUAUUGGACAAUGGGGGCAACCCUGAUCCAGCCAUGCCGCGUGUGUGAAGAAGGCCUUC
RNAcentral lists this ribosomal RNA (381 nucleotides) under Halomonas sp. AGD 1. RNAcentral describes it as "bacterial SSU rRNA". It matches the Rfam family "Bacterial small subunit ribosomal RNA", at positions 40 to 419 of the family's 1533-position model. The record is from RNAcentral. Lineage: Bacteria; Pseudomonadati; Pseudomonadota; Gammaproteobacteria; Oceanospirillales; Halomonadaceae.